RNAcentral lists this ribosomal RNA (253 nucleotides) under uncultured bacterium. Its description in RNAcentral is "partial 16S ribosomal RNA". It matches the Rfam family "Bacterial small subunit ribosomal RNA", at positions 524 to 776 of the family's 1533-position model. The record is from RNAcentral.
UACGAAGGAUUCGAGCGUUAUCCGGCUUUAUUGGGUUUAAAGGGUGCGUAGGUGGUUUAAUAAGUCAGUGGUGAAAGCCCGAAGCUCAACUUCGGAACUGCCAUUGAUACUGUUAAUCUUGAGUACAGUUGAGGUGGGCGGAAUGUGUCAUGUAGCGGUGAAAUGCUUAGAUAUGACACAGAACACCGAUGGCGAAGGCAGCUCACUAAGCUGUAACUGACACUGAGGCACGAAAGCGUGGGGAGCAAACAGG